RNAcentral lists this non-coding RNA (102 nucleotides) under Bhargavaea cecembensis. RNAcentral describes it as "Guanine sequence". It matches the Rfam family "Purine riboswitch aptamer". Rfam says of the family: Riboswitches are metabolite binding domains within certain messenger RNAs that serve as precision sensors for their corresponding targets. RNAcentral also lists the same sequence under 1 other name. Lineage: Bacteria; Bacillati; Bacillota; Bacilli; Caryophanales; Caryophanaceae. The record is from RNAcentral.
AUCAAACAUCAUUUUACCCGUCGUAUAAUACCGGAGAUAGGGUCCGGAAGUUUCUACCGAGCCGCCGUAAAUGGCUCGACUACGAUCGGGGACGUGCUUAUU